This 301-nucleotide ribosomal RNA is filed under the name uncultured bacterium. Its description in RNAcentral is "partial 16S ribosomal RNA". It matches the Rfam family "Bacterial small subunit ribosomal RNA", at positions 512 to 809 of the family's 1533-position model. The record is from RNAcentral.
CAGUACGCGGGAAUACGAAGGGUGCAAGCGUUAAUCGGAAUUACUGGGCGUAAAGCGCGCGUAGGUGGUUCAUUAAGUUGGAUAUGAAAGCCCUGGGCUCAACCUGGGAACUGCAUCCAAAACUGGUGAGCUAGAGUACGGUAGAGGAUAGUGGAAUUUCCUGUGUAGCGGUGAAAUGCGUAGAUAUAGGAAGGAACACCAGUGGCGAAGGCGACUACCUGGACUGAUACUGACACUGAGGUGCGAAAGCGUGGGGAGCAAACAGGAUUAGAUACCCCCGUAGUCCCUGUCUCUUAUACAC